This 72-nucleotide transfer RNA is filed under the name Capra hircus (goat). It matches the Rfam family "tRNA". From Rfam's summary of the family: Transfer RNA (tRNA) molecules are approximately 80 nucleotides in length. Their secondary structure includes four short double-helical elements and three loops (D, anti-codon, and T loops). RNAcentral also lists the same sequence under 1 other name. Lineage: Eukaryota; Metazoa; Chordata; Mammalia; Artiodactyla; Bovidae. The record is from Rfam by way of RNAcentral.
UCCCUGGUGGCUCAGACGGUAAAGAAUCUGCCUGCAAUGCAGGAGACCCAGGUUCGAUCCCUGGGUUGGGAA